Molecule: ribosomal RNA, 253 nt
Filed under: uncultured bacterium
Lineage: Bacteria
Description: partial 16S ribosomal RNA
Rfam family: Bacterial small subunit ribosomal RNA
Source: RNAcentral
UACAGAGGGUGCGAGCGUUAAUCGGAGUUACUGGGCGUAAAGCGUGCGUAGGCGGUGUUGUAAGUUUGGUGUGAAAUCUCCCGGCUCAACUGGGAGGGUGCGCCGAAAACUGCAAGGCUGGAGUAUGGGAGGGGUAGGCGGAAUUCCUGGUGUAGCGGUGAAAUGCGUAGAUAUCAGGAGGAACACCAGUGGUGUAGACGGCUUACUGGACCGUGACUGACGCUGAGGCACGAAAGCGUGGGGAGCAAACAGG